Molecule: long non-coding RNA, 640 nt
Organism: Solanum lycopersicum (tomato)
Lineage: Eukaryota; Viridiplantae; Streptophyta; Magnoliopsida; Solanales; Solanaceae
Source: RefSeq, a predicted model, not a curated record
AUUAAAAAGUACAAUCUAUCUACAAAGGAAUCUUAUCUUUUUGCUUUUAUCUUUGUCUUCCACUUAUCUUUACAUAAUUUCAAACUUCCUUUUUAUCUUGUCUGCCACCUUAUUUCCUUUGUUUGUAUCUGGUUUUGUACUUGUUAUCUUUAUCUCUUUUUCUCCUCCACCUUUCAUCAUUUUCUUCUUUUCUUUAUUCGAAAGCAACAUUUGGUAUAACUUUAUCUUCUCCGUUGCAUUUGGAACAUCUGUGAUCUAGCUGUAUUUAACCAAACAUUAUGGGUUUUACGGAGUUUCCCAUCGUCUCCUUUUAUCUCUGGAAUUUUACCGUCUUCCGAUUGACGUAGCUCCGCAUUUUUAUAGUCAUGCUGCUGACUUAUAUUAGCUUUAGACUUCACUUUAUCUUCAUUAGUCAUUAGCUUUUGUAUCUCAUUUUCCAUACUAUCCACUUUAGUACAAAAUGUAGUAAUGGCUUUGAGUAGCUUUUCAAUUGUAUCUUCAUCUUUGUUCUCAGUCUAAGUAGCUUUUCCUUGAUAAGUAGUCUGCAACACCAUUCUUAUUAGUCUUUAUCACUUCAAUUGUAAAUGUAAAAUUUAAUAUAUUUAAUACCAAUCUUCUAAUUUCCUUCCUUGUCUCUGAA